Rattus norvegicus (Norway rat) is the source of this 104-nucleotide small nuclear RNA. Lineage: Eukaryota; Metazoa; Chordata; Mammalia; Rodentia; Muridae. The record is from Ensembl.
GUGCUCACUUCGGCAGCACAUAUACUAAAAUUGGAACAAAACAGAGAUUAGCACGGUUCCUGUGCAAGGAUGACACGCAAACUCAUGAAGCAGAGAGAGAGAGA